Molecule: ribosomal RNA, 254 nt
Filed under: uncultured bacterium
Lineage: Bacteria
Description: partial 16S ribosomal RNA
Rfam family: Bacterial small subunit ribosomal RNA
Source: RNAcentral
UACGGGGGAUCCAAGCGUUAUCCGGAAUUACUGGGCGUAAAGAGUUGCGUAGGUGGCAUAGUAAGCAGGGCAUGAAAUCGUAUGGCUCAACCAUAUAACCAUGUUCUGAACUGCUAAGCUUGAGAAUGGAAGAGGUCGCUAGAAUUCCUGGUGUAGGGGUGAAAUCCGUAGAUAUCAGGAGGAAUACCAAUGGCGUAGGCAGGCGACUGGUCCAUUUCUGACACUCAGGCACGAAAGCGUGGGGAGCGAUCGGG